Molecule: ribosomal RNA, 559 nt
Filed under: uncultured Salinicoccus sp.
Lineage: Bacteria; Bacillati; Bacillota; Bacilli; Caryophanales; Staphylococcaceae
Description: bacterial SSU rRNA
Rfam family: Bacterial small subunit ribosomal RNA (bases 1-363)
Source: RNAcentral
GGACGCUAAGACAGGUGGUGCAUGGCUGUCGUCAGCUCGUGUCGUGAGAUGUUGGGUUAAGUCCCGCAACGAGCGCAACCCUUGUUAUUAGUUGCCAGCAUUAAGUUGGGCACUCUAAUGAAACUGCCGGUGAUAAACCGGAGGAAGGUGGGGAUGACGUCAAGUCAUCAUGCCCCUUAUGAUUUGGGCUACACACGUGCUACAAUGGACAGGUUACAAAGGGCAGCAACGCCGCGAGGUCAAGCGAAUCCCAUAAAACUGUUCUCAGUUCGGAUUGGAGUCUGCAACUCGACUCCAUGAAGCUGGAAUCGCUAGUAAUCGUAGAUCAGCAUGCUACGGUGAAUACGUUCCGGGUCUUGUACGUCGACGCGGCCGAAGGUUAAGGAAGGUUGGUUAAGGGUAACCGAGCUAGCGACUGAACGCCCGGUGAACGGCGCCGUAACUAUAACGGUCCUAAGGUAGCGUAAACUUCCGUUGUCGGGUAAGUCCGACCGCGACGGAAAGCGUAACGNUCGUGGGAGUCGUGUCGUCGGAAGAGACGACGUCGGACGAAAUUAAG